This 560-nucleotide long non-coding RNA is filed under the name Homo sapiens (human). RNAcentral describes it as "non-protein coding lnc-ANPEP-1:7". Lineage: Eukaryota; Metazoa; Chordata; Mammalia; Primates; Hominidae. The record is from RNAcentral.
CUGUGCUCAUAGCUACCACCUCGCUGCUGAGGGGAGAGAUUCGUGUUGCCAUGUGCCAAGACCUGGGAGAGACCCCUCGUUGUGUCACUGGGCAGGGGGGUUUGAGUGUCUGAGUUGUGAGUCAGGACAGGUCAUAUCUGACCACUCUGCUGCUGCAGGAAAAGGAAACCUCGUGGGUUACACUCUGACCACCACAGAGUAUUCUGACUCCUGAUUUUUGCUUCCCUUUUAGGUGCACUACAUCCUCCAGGAGGUGGUGAUGGGUGGGAUGGUGUUGGAAACAAACAUGAAUGAAAUCGUGGCUCAGAUUGAGGCUCAAAACAGGCUGGAGAAAUCCGAGGGUGGCCUUUCAGCAGCCCCUGCGCGGGCUGUGUCUGCUGUGAAAAACAUCAACCUGCCAGAGAUUCCUCGGAACAUCAACAUUGGCGAUCUCAACAUCAAAGUUCCCAACCUGUCCCAGUUUGUCUGAGGAUCAAGUAUUGGCCUGAAAUAGAGUCCUUAAGACAAGCAAAGACAAGCAAGGCAAGCACGUCUGGAAACAGAACCCAUUUUGAGCCUUA